AUUGAACGCUGGCGGCAGGCCUAACACAUGCAAGUCGAACGGUAGCACAGAGAGCUUGCUCUCGGGUGACGAGUGGCGGACGGGUGAGUAACGUCUGGGAAACUGCCCGAUGGAGGGGGAUAACUACUGGAAACGGUAGCUAAUACCGCAUAACGUCGCAAGACCAAAGUGGGGGACCUUCGGGCCUCACACCAUCGGAUGUGCCCAGAUGGGAUUAGCUAGUAGAUGGGGUAAUGGCUCACCUAGGCGACGAUCCCUAGCUGGUCUGAGAGGAGGAGCAGCCACACCGGAACUGAGAGACUGUCCAGAAUACUACGGGAGGAAGCAGUGGUGAAUAUUGCACAAUGGGCGCAAGCCUGAUGCAGCCAUGCCGCGUGCAUGAAGAAGGCCUUCGGGUUGUAAAGUACUUUCAGCGGGGAGGAAGGCGGUGAAGUUAAUAACUUCACCGAUUGACGUUACCCGCAGAAGAAGCACCGGCUAACUCCGUGCCAGCCGCCGCCGUAA
This 504-nucleotide ribosomal RNA is filed under the name uncultured bacterium. RNAcentral describes it as "partial 16S ribosomal RNA". It matches the Rfam family "Bacterial small subunit ribosomal RNA", at positions 30 to 523 of the family's 1533-position model. The record is from RNAcentral.